GGGUGAUUAGCUCAGUUGGUAGAGCAGCUGACUCUUAAUCAGCGGGUCGCAGGUUCGAUUCCUGCAUCACCCACCA
Molecule: transfer RNA, 76 nt
Filed under: Pseudomonadota bacterium
Lineage: Bacteria; Pseudomonadati; Pseudomonadota
Also listed under: 5 other names
Description: tRNA-Lys
Rfam family: tRNA
About the family: Transfer RNA (tRNA) molecules are approximately 80 nucleotides in length. Their secondary structure includes four short double-helical elements and three loops (D, anti-codon, and T loops). Further hydrogen bonds mediate the characteristic L-shaped molecular structure. tRNAs have two regions of fundamental functional importance: the anti-codon, which is responsible for specific mRNA codon recognition, and the 3' end, to which the tRNAs corresponding amino acid is attached (by aminoacyl-tRNA synthetases). tRNAs cope with the degeneracy of the genetic code in two manners: having more than one tRNA (with a specific anti-codon) for a particular amino acid; and 'wobble' base-pairing, i.e. permitting non-standard base-pairing at the 3rd anti-codon position.
Source: RNAcentral